CAUUGGAAAGGAUGCAGGCAGGGGGGAGUGUGGUUGUAGCUGGCCCCCUAAUAAGGGCAUGUGCACACUGUCUCUUUCUCUUGUUUGUUUUUUCAUUCUUUCCACUUGUGCACUGCUUGUAGGCAGCCUGGCAUUGUUCGGGUUGUCUAUGAUUUUAUUUUACAUACAUGAAUCAUUGUUGUACAGAAUGUGAUAAAAAAAUAAUAAUACAACUUUCAACAACGGAUCUCUUGGCUCUCGCAUCGAUGAAGAACGCAGCGAAAUGCGAUAAGUAAUGUGAAUUGCAGAAUUCAGUGAAUCAUCAAAUCUUUGAACGCAUCUUGCGCUCCUUGGUAUUCCGAGGAGCAUGCCUGUUUGAGUGUCAUUAAAUUCUGUCAAAACAUGCACUUGAGUGUGUUUUGGAUUGUGGGAGUGUCUGCUGGCUUUAUAUGAGUCAGCUCUCCUGAAAGACAUUAGCUUUGGAGGGAUGUGCCAAGUCACUUCUGCCUUUCCAUUGGUGUGAUAGAUGAAUAAACUUAUCUACGCCAGGAAAGCAGGUUGCAGGUGAUGCACUGUGAUCUCUCUGCUCUCUAAUUGACAUUUGUCUGAUAACUUGACCUCAAAUCAGGUAGGACUACCCGCUGAACUUAAGCAUAUCAACACGCGGAAAGA
This 651-nucleotide ribosomal RNA is filed under the name Amanita pantherina. RNAcentral's name for it is "eukaryotic LSU rRNA". The stretch from base 211 to 364 matches the Rfam family "5.8S ribosomal RNA". The record is from RNAcentral. Lineage: Eukaryota; Fungi; Basidiomycota; Agaricomycetes; Agaricales; Amanitaceae.